This 494-nucleotide ribosomal RNA is filed under the name uncultured bacterium. Its description in RNAcentral is "partial 16S ribosomal RNA". It matches the Rfam family "Bacterial small subunit ribosomal RNA", at positions 28 to 507 of the family's 1533-position model. The record is from RNAcentral.
GACGAACGCUGGCGGCGCGCUUAACACAUGCAAGUCGAACGGAAAGGCCUGCUUUCCCUUGUGGAUUGCGGGUACUCGAGUGGCGAACGGGUAAGUAACACGUGAGUGAUCUGCCCCCAACUUGGGUAUAAGCCUGGGAAACUGGGUCUAAUUCCCGAUAGGACUGCAGGGUGGUGCCUGUGGUGGAAAACGAUUUUCUAGUGGUUGGGGAUGAGCUCGCGGCCUAUCAGCUUGUUGGUGGGGUAAUGGCCUACCAAGGCGGCGACGGGUAGCCGGCCUGAGAGGGUGGACGGCCACAUUGGGACUGGGAUACGGCCCAGACGCCUACGGGAGGCAGCAGUGGGGAAUAUUGCACAAUGGGCGGAAGCCUGAUGCAGCGACGCCGCGUGGGGGAUGACGGCCUUCGGGUUGUAAACUCCUUUCGACCGCGAGGAAGCCACCUGGUUGGAAGGGUGGUGACGGUAGUGGUAGAAGAAGCACCGGCUAACUACGUG